GUCAGCUCGUGCCGUGAGGUGUUGGGUUAAGUCCCGCAACGAGCGCAACCCUUUUCCUUAUUUGCCAGCGGGUUAAGCCGGGAACUUUAAGGAUACUGCCAGUGACAAACUGGAGGAAGGCGGGGACGACGUCAAGUCAUCAUGGCCCUUACGCCCAGGGCUACACACGUGCUACAAUGGCCGGUACAGAGGGUCGCCACCUAGUGAUAGGGCGCCAAUCUCAAAAAGCUGGUCUCAGUUC
RNAcentral lists this ribosomal RNA (241 nucleotides) under Chaetoceros affinis. Its description in RNAcentral is "partial Bacterial small subunit ribosomal RNA". It matches the Rfam family "Bacterial small subunit ribosomal RNA", at positions 1054 to 1294 of the family's 1533-position model. The record is from RNAcentral. Lineage: Eukaryota; Bacillariophyta; Thalassiosirophyceae; Chaetocerotales; Chaetocerotaceae.